RNAcentral lists this ribosomal RNA (274 nucleotides) under uncultured bacterium. Its description in RNAcentral is "partial 16S ribosomal RNA". It matches the Rfam family "Bacterial small subunit ribosomal RNA", at positions 523 to 796 of the family's 1533-position model. The record is from RNAcentral.
AUACGAAGGGGGCAAGCGUUGUUCGGAAUAACUGGGCGUAAAGCGCACGUAGGCGGAAUGUUAAGUUAGAGGUGAAAUCCCAGGGCUCAACCCUGGAACUGCCUUUAAUACUGGCAAUCUAGAGACCGAGAGAGGUGAGUGGAAUUCCGAGUGUAGAGGUGAAAUUCGUAGAUAUUCGGAGGAACACCAGUGGCGAGGGCGGCUCACUGGCUCGGUACUGACGCUGAGGUGCGAAAGCGUGGGGAGCAAACAGGAUUAGAAACCCUAGUAGUCC